This 255-nucleotide ribosomal RNA is filed under the name Shigella flexneri. Its description in RNAcentral is "partial 16S ribosomal RNA". It matches the Rfam family "Bacterial small subunit ribosomal RNA", at positions 1 to 252 of the family's 1533-position model. Lineage: Bacteria; Pseudomonadati; Pseudomonadota; Gammaproteobacteria; Enterobacterales; Enterobacteriaceae. The record is from RNAcentral.
AAAUUGAAGAGUUUGAUCAUGGCUCAGAUUGAACGCUGGCGGCAGGCCUAACACAUGCAAGUCGAACGGUAACAGGAAGCUCACCUAGGCGACGAUCCCUAGCUUUUUUUUUUUGAGUAAUGUCUGGGAAACUGCCUGAUGGAGGGGGAUAACUACUGGAAACGGUAGCUAAUACCGCAUAACGUCGCAAGACCAAAGAGGGGGACCUUCGGGCCUCUUGCCAUCGGAUGUGCCCAGAUGGGAUUAGCUAGUAGG